CCUUCGAAAUGUAGACUUUUAAGAAAAUAUCUUACUACACAUCUUAAGUAUAUACAAUUUUUCUUUGUCAAUCAUACCGCAAUAAAGCCGAGGGAGAAAAGAUUCAAUUUGUGAGCAAUUACGGGACCAUUCUAAUUUUCUGAAAAGAAAAACAGUAUCUCAUGGGGUUGUUUCUUAUCACUAGAUUCCAGGAUAUGUGUACAGCACUUAGAGCCUACAAGUAGGAAAUACGAUGUCAAUGUUAGCCUUUAUUGGUUUUUUUUAUUUUUUUAUUUUUUUUUUCCUCUCUCAAAUCAUGGGAGCCUUUGUUAUUAUUUUUGCCCUUGGGGAGCCCAUGGUCUGGUAGGGCCCAACCACAUUGUAGGGGCUGUUGGGUUGUUUGCGUUUGUCCUGCCCCUCACUUCCUCCUGGUUUUAUUUCCUUUGGGGACACCACUCUCCCACUCUAAACCCCCAAGGUUUGGGUGGCUGACUCCGCCCCCUGGCAGGCCUACCCAAUCAGUGUAUUCUACCCACCAGGCUGCUGUGAUUGGGUCAGUGCAGGCCACCUGACCCAAGUUGGUCCAAUGAGACUCCGUGUAAGUCCAUUUGGGCCACCACACCCACCCGGGCCUGCAAGGGGAGGAAGCUGACUUAAGAAGGAACUCAACGCAGAGGAAAGCAAAAUGGAGACAUGGAGGGAGACGCCAAGUUCCAGUGACAUUAAGCCCCUGAAUCCCACCAUGGCUGAACUUGCAUUACUGAAGCCCUCCUGAGUUGAAUUUCUGCCUCUUGCAAAUGAAAGAGGCCUGAUGAAUACCCACAUAGUUCAAUUUCAAUAUACGAAGGUUGGCUGAUUGUGGAGGCUAAAGCAACUCUACCUUGCCAGCUUAUCCACCAUGUGGACUUCUAAUUAAUCUCAGUUGCCGGAAUGCCUCUAAGAUUUCUACGUUAUCUACUGUGAAGAGCAAGUAAUUACUGCAAAUCCUGCCCUUGGGUCAAAACAACCUUGAUGACAUAUUCCUUCUGAAGCACAUAUACUCUUUCCCUAGCUGCCUGCCCUGCAGACUUCAGGCUCCAGCAUCAGACACAGAGACCCAGCGUUAUGGAGACUGUCUAACCAGAUCUCACAAUUGUGGAAGAUCCCAACUCCUACAGAAAUCUCUUAAAAACCACGUGUGGCUGGGCACAGUGGCUCAUGUAUGUAAUUCCAGCACUUUGGGAGGCUGAGGUGAGUGGA
Molecule: long non-coding RNA, 1218 nt
Filed under: Homo sapiens (human)
Lineage: Eukaryota; Metazoa; Chordata; Mammalia; Primates; Hominidae
Description: HSALNT0371044
Source: RNAcentral